GACGAACGCUGGCGGCGUGCUUAACACAUGCAAGUCGAGCGAGGCCCAUCCUUCGGGGUGGUGCCCUAGCGGCGAACGGGUGAGUAACACGUGGGCAACCUGCCCUCAGCUCUGGGAUAACUCCAAGAAAUUGGUGCUAAUACCGGAUGUGACCGCUGACCGCAUGGUCUGGUGGUGGAAAGAUUCAUCGGCUGAGGAUGGGCCCGCGGCCUAUCAGCUUGUUGGUGGGGUAAUGGCCCACCAAGGCGACGACGGGUAGCCGGCCUGAGAGGGUGACCGGCCACCCUGGGACUGAGACACGGCCCAGACUCCUACGGGAGGCAGCAGUGGGGAAUAUUGCGCAAUGGGCGAAAGCCUGACGCAGCGACGCCGCGUGAGGGAUGACGGCCUUCGGGUUGUAAACCUCUUUCAGUAGGGACGAAGCGAAAGUGACGGUACCUACAGAAGAAGCACCGGCCAACUACGUG
This 467-nucleotide ribosomal RNA is filed under the name uncultured bacterium. RNAcentral's name for it is "partial 16S ribosomal RNA". It matches the Rfam family "Bacterial small subunit ribosomal RNA", at positions 28 to 507 of the family's 1533-position model. The record is from RNAcentral.